CUCUUAUGGAGAGUUUGAUCCUGGCUCAGGACGAACGCUGGCGGCAUGCCUAAUACAUGCAAGUCGA
This 67-nucleotide ribosomal RNA is filed under the name Sporosarcina sp. P1. RNAcentral describes it as "partial 16S ribosomal RNA". It matches the Rfam family "Bacterial small subunit ribosomal RNA", at positions 1 to 65 of the family's 1533-position model. Lineage: Bacteria; Bacillati; Bacillota; Bacilli; Caryophanales; Caryophanaceae. The record is from RNAcentral.